This is a long non-coding RNA of Dendronephthya gigantea, 939 nucleotides long. RefSeq lists it as uncharacterized. Lineage: Eukaryota; Metazoa; Cnidaria; Anthozoa; Malacalcyonacea; Nephtheidae. The transcript has 4 exons. The record is from RefSeq and is a predicted model, not a curated record.
CGUCAUUGACUGAAAAAUGUUCGAAGUCCAAAAAGACCACAAGACGUACAUUAGCGUCAUGAACUGGCUCUAGCUUCACAGAAUCAAAUAAAGACGGGGAUUUUUUCAUUAUUUAGUGCAAAUGGUUGACAUACUUGUUGGUAUAGAUGGAUUCGUAGUAACAGGGAGUUUGCCGAGGUUUGCGCUGUUGAAAAAAUUGUAACUCUUAUGGUUCAUGUCACGUCUUCGCAUCAGGUCUAGCUGCUGAUAGAUAAAUGAGCUUGAGAUUAUCAUCGAGUGACGAUACGAUGCGGAUAAGCAAUAUUGUGUUGUUUUUGUUUACCUCACUUUUUGCACUAUUUGGAAAUGAAAAAAAUGCUGUCGCUGUAAAAGCCACAAAGAGUUUCAGAAUUGAAAGCGCAAGUUAUGAGCAGUGUCUAGUGCAUAGAAACCGUUUCACGCCAUCGCAAAGCUACGAGCCUUCAUUAACGCUCAGAAAAUGUGACCAAAACUCGACUGGGUUCAGCCAACGCUGGGUAUGGACAAGCAGAGGACAACUGAGGUUAAAAGGAAAAAAACGUUGCCUCACUGCUAGUCAACGUGGCGUCGUCUUUUUACAGCGCUGUCGCGUUGAUGAAAUUCGUGAAAAAUACGAAUUUCAGCAAUGGGAAUGCAUGGGAAACCUCUUGAAGUUGAAAUAUAUGAAUGCAUAUUUGGUGCCGUUUCAUUUCUCUUCGAAAGGCAUCAACAUAUUUGGCAUUUUGGCGCGGUCGGUGGCGAGGCGGAAGCGAAUUGGUACGACAGUUUACGGAGCGGGUGAAUGGUCGCGACAAGGAACAGGAGCAUCCCUUUGCGGAGACCUUCCCUUUUAAGGAAGAUUUCUUUUCGGAUUUAUUUCUCAACGCUGAAAGAUCUGAUUUAAUUAGCUGGAAAACCAUAAUUAACAUCUGAUGAAUUUAU